AUGCGCCUCGGAUCUCUCAUCCUUGCUGCCUUCCUGGGGCAACUCCUGGGCAUCAUGGGGCAGACCACUGUCACCCAGCAAGAAGGACAAGUCACGGUGAAGCAGAGAGGCACCUUCCAAGCAACCUGCACAUACAAAACCUCUUACUUUUAUGGCUUGCUCUGGUACCAGCAGAGGAAAGGCCAAGUCCCACAGCUGGUCUUAUAUCAGGCAGCAGCUGGCCCCAAGCACAGCGGCCGUCUCCCCACGUCGCUGAACACCACAGGGCAAUACAGCCUCCUGCGGCUGGAGGAAGCCGAGGUCUCUGGCAGUGCCUUGUACCUCUGUGCUGUGCAAGACACCCUG
Phaethon lepturus (White-tailed tropicbird) is the source of this 345-nucleotide non-coding RNA. NCBI's taxonomy places the organism in Eukaryota, Metazoa, Chordata, Aves, Phaethontiformes, Phaethontidae. The record is from the annotation of a RefSeq genome assembly.